UGAGUAACCUGCCCUUAACUCUGGGAUAAGCCUGGGAAACUGGGUCUAAUACCGGAUAUGACUCCUCAUCGCAUGGUGGGGGGUGGAAAGCUUUUUUGUGGUUUUGGAUGGACUCGCGGCCUAUCAGCUUGUUGGUGAGGUAAUGGCUCACCAAGGCGACGACGGGUAGCUGGUCUGAGAGGAUGGCCAGCCACAGUUGGGACUGAGACACGGCCCAGACCUCCGUACGGGAGNAG
RNAcentral lists this ribosomal RNA (236 nucleotides) under uncultured bacterium. RNAcentral's name for it is "partial 16S ribosomal RNA". It matches the Rfam family "Bacterial small subunit ribosomal RNA", at positions 118 to 347 of the family's 1533-position model. The record is from RNAcentral.